UUGCUGACGGAUGUCUAGGCUCUUGCGUCGAUGAAGAACGUAGCAACCAGCGAUAUACGAUGAUAGGAGCGCUCUCGUGAAUCAUCGGAUCUUCGAACGCAUACAGUGCUCAGUAAGUACCUCGGGAAGGGGUGAGCAUGCUUAGCGCAGUGA
This 153-nucleotide ribosomal RNA is filed under the name Lotharella globosa. RNAcentral's name for it is "5.8S ribosomal RNA". It matches the Rfam family "5.8S ribosomal RNA". Rfam says of the family: 5.8S ribosomal RNA (5.8S rRNA) is a component of the large subunit of the eukaryotic ribosome. It is transcribed by RNA polymerase I as part of the 45S precursor that also contains 18S and 28S rRNA. Lineage: Eukaryota; Cercozoa; Chlorarachniophyceae. The record is from RNAcentral.